GUCCACGCUGUAAACGAUGGGCACUAGGUGUGGGAGGUGUCUACUCCUCCCGUGCCGGAGCUAACGCAUUAAGUGCCCCGCCUGGGGAGUACGGCCGCAAGGCUAAAACUCAAAGGAAUUGACGGGGACCCCGCACAAGCAGCGGAGCAUGUGGUUUAAUUCGACGCAACGCGAAGAACCUUACCUGGGUUUGACAUGUUCCUGACCGCCGUGGAAACACGGUUUCCCCUUGUGGGCAGGAUCACAGGUGGUGCAUGGCUGUCGU
RNAcentral lists this ribosomal RNA (265 nucleotides) under uncultured bacterium. RNAcentral's name for it is "partial 16S ribosomal RNA". It matches the Rfam family "Bacterial small subunit ribosomal RNA", at positions 793 to 1055 of the family's 1533-position model. The record is from RNAcentral.